This is a non-coding RNA of Pteropus alecto (black flying fox), 361 nucleotides long. The record is from Rfam. NCBI's taxonomy places the organism in Eukaryota, Metazoa, Chordata, Mammalia, Chiroptera, Pteropodidae.
GGAUGUGAAAGUAAUCUGGCUGCGACAUCUGUUGCCCCAUCAAUCACCAGGAUUGAUUAGGCCGAUCUGGUUGGUUAGCGGGUGUCCUCCUUCUUACAUCACUGCUCUAUGUGUGUCCUUCUUGAAUCCUGGCAUUCAGUGGGAGAGGAUGACCUGCCCUGAUAGAAAGAGGAUCGUUCUUCGGUCAAGGGUAUAUGAGUAACUGUACUCCCCCUGCUAGAACUUCCAAACAAGCUCUCAAAAGAAUCAAAUCAUACUACUACAAAAAAUCAUUAAUUCACAAAGGAAGGCAAUAGAGGAAGAAAGGAACAAAGAAACUACAGAAAAAAAUUGACAAAAUGGCAAUAGUAAGUCCUUAUCU